UUAUUUGAAAGAGAGAGACACAGCGAGAUGAGAGAGAGAAGAUGAAAUUAUAUAUGUAAAAAGGCCAGCAUAGUGCUUGGCACCUACCAAGUGCACCUUUCAUGGUCAUAAGGUACUGCCCAGUGUUUAUUGUGGGAGGAGAGUGGCAGAGAAAAGCCCGCAGGUUGAGUGGCACUUAUUGUGUCUUUCCUCUGGAUUCCUCGCCUGUCCAGGGCUCCCUGGGCAUGUGUCUCUUGCCUCAUCCUCCCCACUGUGGCCACUCUUUCAGACUCCUGUCUCAUGCUCGCUUUGGCAGCACAUAUACUAAAAUCAGAUUCUUGUCUUCUCUCAGCUCAGCCUCAUGCUGGUCCCAGCAGGUAAAUCUGGUUAGGUCAACUGAAGACAUCAAGUCCUGAGGCCCAGAAGAAGACAUUUUAAACUUUACUCAAAUUCUGGUGAUCUGCACAAUACUUUUUCACAGUAGCUUGGGAGAAAGAAUGAUACAGAUCUGUGUGUUUUAGGAUGGAAUAGUCGCCAAGGUUUAUUAGAAGCAGCCAAGUUCUGGAGUGCAGUCCCUCUGUGAGAGCGAGCGUGCAAGAGUCCAGGCUACACGGAAGCAUGCCCUGGUGUGGGCCCUAAGGCAGAGCCCUCCCGCAGACUGGCACCUCCCUCUGCCACAGGACGAGAAAGACCAGUGAUGAGCACUCCUGAACGGCUUCCUCUGAUCUGUUUCAAAUGGGGCUGUCGCAAGACCCUGAGGAUGGUGAUGGGCCCAAACAGUCUAGUGGGUCCCUGAAGCUUCCACUCGGCUUAGAACACAGAGCCUGAGGUCUCCAGCCCUAAUUGCCCACUCCUGCUGCUGCCUUACUCUGACACAAUUUCACCCACUGCACAGCUUCCAGGAUGCCAAACACCAUUGCAGAUCCCGGUGAGCAGCCAGGUCAGGCUGGUUCAUGCUCCCCGCUGGGGACAACAGCACUCUCAGGUAAACUCUUGAGUGAUAGCCCUGAUCCAAGUGGAUACAUAGGGCGGUCAGAACGAGGUAACUAAAUGGUUGUGCUGUGGUGAACACUUGUCCUGGUCCUGGUUUGGUGACACUGUGCAUUGCCAGCCCCUGGUGCUUACACGGAGCUAUUAGCCCACUCACUAAGUUCCUCUGUGGACACAGACAGGGUGUUGCUCCUCGUAGGAUAUAGGCCCUCUUGAAGACUCUGGCUUUUAAGAAACGCACACAGCUACAGAAUACACAACCUCACGUUAAAAGGGUUCAUAGACCCUUGGCUUAAGAAACCCAAGCCCAAGACACGUGGAAUUUUAGUCUCUUUCCUUUAAAAUUUCCCUUGGUCAGUUUUAGAAAAUGUAGAUUAUAUCAAAUGCCAUUUCGCACGUUUGAUUUCAAAUAGAAGCUGAAAAUUAAAUCCACGAUUUAAUAGUUGAGAUUGUUAGAUUUAGCACCUGACAUUAUUGUGCUCGGACAGUAUUGGAAUUUUGUAUACUUAUACUCUUGUAGAUGUUUUUAAAAUAUAUGUUUAUGAACCAACAAGAA
Leptonychotes weddellii (Weddell seal) is the source of this 1525-nucleotide non-coding RNA. NCBI's taxonomy places the organism in Eukaryota, Metazoa, Chordata, Mammalia, Carnivora, Phocidae. The record is from RefSeq and is a predicted model, not a curated record.